Molecule: RNase P RNA, 309 nt
Filed under: Candidatus Pacearchaeota archaeon CG10_big_fil_rev_8_21_14_0_10_32_14
Lineage: Archaea; Nanobdellati
Description: RNase P RNA component
Rfam family: Archaeal RNase P
About the family: Ribonuclease P (RNase P) is a ubiquitous endoribonuclease, found in archaea, bacteria and eukarya as well as chloroplasts and mitochondria. Its best characterised activity is the generation of mature 5'-ends of tRNAs by cleaving the 5'-leader elements of precursor-tRNAs.
Source: RNAcentral
GUAAGUCGGCUAGUUGACUUCGGGAUCUGAUGUUAAAUCAUCGAAUGUCGGAAUAAAUCGAUUUUGAUUCUGAGGAAGGUCCGCCCAUCAUGAAACAUCGUUUGCGAAAGCAAAUUGUCGUGAGGCAAAGCUCUGGUACAGAAACGCCACAGCCGUUUUUGAGUUAUGAAACUUGCGUUGAACUGCGAGAAAACGGAUUUGAUGAAACGAGCACCUCGAUAGAUGCAAGGUAAAAUACCGCUUAGUUGAAUGUCAACACGUUCCGUCUGAAUACGGGGAACGACAGAAGGUGGCCUACUGCCGACUUAC